UACGUAGGUGGCAAGCGUUGUCCGGAUUUACUGGGCGUAAAGAGCGCGCAGGCGGCCAAGUCAGUCGAACGUGAAAGCCCCCGGCCCAACUGGGGAAAGACAUUCGAUACUGCCUGGCUAGAAGGUAGGAGAGGGAAGCGGAAUUUCAGGUGUAGUGGUGAAAUGCGUAGAUAUCUGAAGGAACACCAGUGGCGAAGGCGGCUUUCUGGCCUAUUCUUGACGCUGAGGCGCGAAAGCUAGGGGAGCGAACGGG
This 253-nucleotide ribosomal RNA is filed under the name uncultured bacterium. Its description in RNAcentral is "partial 16S ribosomal RNA". It matches the Rfam family "Bacterial small subunit ribosomal RNA", at positions 524 to 776 of the family's 1533-position model. The record is from RNAcentral.